Molecule: ribosomal RNA, 253 nt
Filed under: uncultured bacterium
Lineage: Bacteria
Description: partial 16S ribosomal RNA
Rfam family: Bacterial small subunit ribosomal RNA
Source: RNAcentral
UACGAAGGGGGCUAGCGUUGCUCGGAAUUACUGGGCGUAAAGGGCGCGUAGGCGGACGACUAAGUCGGGGGUGAAAGCCCGGGGCUCAACCUCGGAAAUGCCCUCGAUACUGGUCAUCUUGAGUACGGGAGAGGUGUGUGGAACUCCGAGUGUAGAGGUGAAAUUCGUAGAUAUUCGGAAGAACACCAGUGGCGAAGGCGACACACUGGCCCGUUACUGACGCUGAGGCGCGAAAGCGUGGGGAGCAAACAGG